RNAcentral lists this transfer RNA (72 nucleotides) under Deltaproteobacteria bacterium. Its description in RNAcentral is "tRNA-Glu". It matches the Rfam family "tRNA". From Rfam's summary of the family: Transfer RNA (tRNA) molecules are approximately 80 nucleotides in length. Their secondary structure includes four short double-helical elements and three loops (D, anti-codon, and T loops). Further hydrogen bonds mediate the characteristic L-shaped molecular structure. tRNAs have two regions of fundamental functional importance: the anti-codon, which is responsible for specific mRNA codon recognition, and the 3' end, to which the tRNAs corresponding amino acid is attached (by aminoacyl-tRNA synthetases). tRNAs cope with the degeneracy of the genetic code in two manners: having more than one tRNA (with a specific anti-codon) for a particular amino acid; and 'wobble' base-pairing, i.e. permitting non-standard base-pairing at the 3rd anti-codon position. The record is from RNAcentral. Lineage: Bacteria; Pseudomonadati; Myxococcota; Myxococcia.
GGCCCCUUCGUCUAGUGGUUAGGACAUCGGUCUUUCACGCCGACGGCACGGGUUCGAGUCCCGUAGGGGUCA